AGGAGUUUCAAGCAUGACAGCAUCCAUUUUCUGCCACAAGAAUACAUUAGCAUGGGAUAAUGGAAUAGGACCCUGUCCUCCUAUUUUCAGUUGGUUUUGGCAGCGCGAGGACUAGGGUAAUGAUUAAUAGGGAUAGUUGGGGGCAUUAAUAUUUAAUUGUCAGAGGUGAAAUUCUUGGAUUUAUGAAAGAUUAACUUCUGCGAAAGCAUCUGCCAAGGAUGUUUUCAUUAAUCAAGAACGAAAGUUAGGGGAUCGAAGACGAUCAGAUACCGUCGUAGUCUUAACCAUAAACGAUGCCGACCAGCGAUUAGGAGACGUUGAAUACAAAACACCACCAUCGGUGCGGUCGUCCUUGGCGUCUCGGUUUCGGCCGGGGUGCGGGGACGGCUUAGCCCGGUGGCACCGGUGAAUGACUCCCCUAGCAGCUUGUGAGAA
Molecule: ribosomal RNA, 435 nt
Filed under: Acanthamoeba castellanii
Lineage: Eukaryota; Discosea; Longamoebia; Acanthamoebidae
Description: SSU rRNA
Rfam family: Eukaryotic small subunit ribosomal RNA
Source: RNAcentral